Molecule: long non-coding RNA, 558 nt
Filed under: Pongo abelii (Sumatran orangutan)
Lineage: Eukaryota; Metazoa; Chordata; Mammalia; Primates; Hominidae
Description: lincRNA
Source: RNAcentral
AGUUAGAUAAACUGGUUGUUGAAACUCCCUGGGCCAUGGAGUUUUCUUAUUUUUCUUUUCUUUUUUUUUUUUUUAGUAGAGAGCUGACUUUAGAGGGAUCAGGAAUAGUUUGCUGGAUGGAAGGAGGUCAUCUUUAGGAGCUGGCAUGAAUUGCUGUGUUUCAAAACAGUCCAUGUAGAGAAAUGAGGAGAAGAGGAUUCAUCCAUUAGCUUCCAUCUCCCAUCGGUGAAAGCUUGCCCCGCAACUCCUCCACACUUCUGGGCUGUAUGAUCUGUCCUGCUACAGCCACUAUGGAAAUCCGAACCCAUGUUAGUAGCCACCUCCUCAGCAUGAGCUGCAGCUUAUGGGGCAUGCAGCAAGUAGGAGCAAGCCAAGGGCCCUGCGGGCUAGACCUCUGGCACACUGCAGAACCAGCAUGAACCAGGGCGGGUGGUGAACACCGAGAGGGUCCCAUGGUACUGCCCACCAUAGAGACUAAAACAGAGCCUUUGGCAAGAGGCAGGAGGCUCUAAGCAUGGGGUAUUUUCAGUCAUAGCCACACAUUACUUCAGAUUCCAG